This 425-nucleotide ribosomal RNA is filed under the name uncultured bacterium. Its description in RNAcentral is "partial 16S ribosomal RNA". It matches the Rfam family "Bacterial small subunit ribosomal RNA", at positions 354 to 796 of the family's 1533-position model. The record is from RNAcentral.
GUGAGGAAUUUUCCGCAAUGGGCGAAAGCCUGACGGAGCAAUGCCGCGUGAAGGAUGAAGGCCUUCGGGUUGUAAAGUUCUUUAGCCGAUGAUUAUAAUGACUGUAGUCGGAAAAUAAGCCCCGGCUAACUUCGUGCCAGCAGCCGCGGUAAUACGAAGGGGGCGAGCGUUAUUCGGAAUCACUGGGCGUAAAGCGUGCGUAGGCGGUUUUGUAAGUUAGGAGUGAAAGCCCAGGGCUCAACCUUGGAAUUGCUCUUAAAACUGCAAGGCUCGAAUCUCGGAGAGGAUAGCGGAAUUUCCAGUGUAGCAGUGAAAUGCGUAGAUAUUGGAAGGAACACCAGUGGCGUAAGCGGCUAUCUGGACGAGUAUUGACGCUGAGGCACGAAAGCGUGGGGAUCAAACAGGAUUAGAAACCCCGGUAGUCC